GACGAACGCUGGCGGCGUGCCUAAUACAUGCAAGUAGAACGCACAGUUUAUACCGUAGCUUGCUACACCAUAGACUGUGAGUUGCGAACGGGUGAGUAACGCGUCGGUGACCUGCCUGGUAGCGGGGGGUAACUAUUGGAAACGCUAGCUAAUACCGCAUAAUAUUAAUUAUUGCAUAAUAAUUAAUUGAAAGGUGCAAUUGCACCACUACCAGAUGGACUUGCGUUGUAUUAGCUAGUAGGGGCGGUAACGGCUCACCUAGGCGACGAUACAUAGCCGACCUGAGGGGGUGGACGGCCACACUGAGACUGUGACACGGCCCAGACUCCUACGGGCGGCAGCAGUAGGGAAUCGACGGCGAUGGACGGAAGUCUGACCGAGCGACGCCACGUGAGUGAAGAAGGUUUUCGGGUCGUAAAGCUGUGUUGGGAGAGAAGAACGGGUGUGAGAGGGGAGAGGUCACACUGUGACGGUAUCUGACCAGGAAGGGACGGCUAACUACGUG
RNAcentral lists this ribosomal RNA (505 nucleotides) under uncultured bacterium. Its description in RNAcentral is "partial 16S ribosomal RNA". It matches the Rfam family "Bacterial small subunit ribosomal RNA", at positions 28 to 507 of the family's 1533-position model. The record is from RNAcentral.